CCAGUCCCAGGGUAACGGCUCGCAAAAUGGCGGCGCCCAACUCGGAGUGAGGAGACGUUCGGUUCUCUCCUACGAUUUCCGCACAAACACUGACUCUCAAUAAAGGAGUUUCGAAAUCUGUUCUGUUCUCCCCAACUGUUCUGGCUCUAAGAUACAGACACCUGGGAUUGAAAUGGAGAAAAUAAAUGUACUCAUUGUUAACAUUUGCAAAAAUCAAUUUCAUUGGCAAAUGUCAGUUUGUGCAGAUGGUGUAUAAGAAAUUCUUUGACAAAGCCCACGAUGUCGACAUCUACUCAAUGGAAUUGUGUUAUAGCAAAUUUGCUUUGCUGGAAUACGCAUAAUGGCAGAACCCCUUUAUAAAUGAUCUGAAGCACUUGU
Rhincodon typus (whale shark) is the source of this 378-nucleotide long non-coding RNA. RefSeq lists it as uncharacterized. NCBI's taxonomy places the organism in Eukaryota, Metazoa, Chordata, Chondrichthyes, Orectolobiformes, Rhincodontidae. The transcript is spliced from 3 exons. The record is from RefSeq and is a predicted model, not a curated record.